UGCUGGGUCAUCUAACGGUAGGAUAGUGGACUCUGAAUCCACUCAUCUUGGUUCGAAUCCAAGCCCAGCAGCCA
Molecule: transfer RNA, 74 nt
Filed under: bacterium
Lineage: Bacteria
Description: tRNA-Gln
Rfam family: tRNA
About the family: Transfer RNA (tRNA) molecules are approximately 80 nucleotides in length.
Source: RNAcentral